Magnolia sinica is the source of this 402-nucleotide long non-coding RNA. RefSeq lists it as uncharacterized. The record is from RefSeq and is a predicted model, not a curated record. NCBI's taxonomy places the organism in Eukaryota, Viridiplantae, Streptophyta, Magnoliopsida, Magnoliales, Magnoliaceae. The transcript is spliced from 2 exons.
CUCAGGUUUUUCAUAGCAUACUACUAGACCAAGUAGGUAUCCUUGACCGUCUUUCUUUUUCAGACCAAGGCAGUGAAACAAGUGUUCUGGCACAAAUGUAUGUGGCUACAAAAGCAACUAUUUGACAGCUUGUGCUCUAUGUCAAAGGACACAUCUUUGCUGCUGAAGACAGUUGAAAAUACUCAUUUAAAUACUUGCAACAGUGUGAAGGCUGAAGUCAACAAAAUUAACUUUUCUAACAAUUUUGGAGCCUGUUAGAUUAUAGAAGCCUGGAAAUGAAAUGUUGAAUUGAAAUUGAAAUGUGUACUAGAAAAGAAAGAAAAGAUUAUUGUGUGAAUCAUUCUGUUGUCCUUUUCUUUUAUUUGUGUAAUUAUCUAGCAUAUAAUACAAGUAGAUUACAUA